UCCUACGGGGCGCAUCAUUUUUUUAUAUUUCACAAUUUUUUUAACCCUUAUUCAUCUACGCCGCGUGGGUGAAGGAGCGUUUCGGCGCGUAAAGCCCUAUCGGCAGGGAAGAAGAUGACGGUACCUGACCAAGAAGCCCCGGCUAACUACGUGCCAGCAGCCGCGGUAAUACGUAGGGGGCAAGCGUUAUCCGGAUUUACUGGGUGUAAAGGGGGCGCAGACGGCAAUGCAAGCCAGGAGUGAAAGCCCGGGGCCCAACCCCGGGGCUGCUCUUGGAACUGCAUGGCUGGAGUACAGGAGGGGCG
Molecule: ribosomal RNA, 305 nt
Filed under: uncultured bacterium
Lineage: Bacteria
Description: partial 16S ribosomal RNA
Rfam family: Bacterial small subunit ribosomal RNA
Source: RNAcentral